AGAACACUAAUGGAGACGGUCUUGAAUUUGACGAUCUUAGGAAAGAAAUACAAGAAUGGAGGCUGAGAUAUAUCGAUGUUGAUUCUUUACUCAGGAAAAUAAAGGCUGACUUAAAGGCCGAUCACCCUCAUAGCGCAGUGGCCGAGUUCAUAUACGAUCAACAUUACGGUCCCUCUCAUG
Molecule: long non-coding RNA, 180 nt
Organism: Physella acuta
Lineage: Eukaryota; Metazoa; Mollusca; Gastropoda; Physidae
Source: RefSeq, a predicted model, not a curated record